AUUGAACGCUGGCGGCAUGCCUUACACAUGCAAGUCGAACGGCAGCGGACCUUCGGGUGCCGGCGAGUGGCGAACGGGUGAGUAAUAUAUCGGAACGUACCUUUCAGUGGGGGAUAACGUAGCGAAAGUUACGCUAAUACCGCAUAUUCUGUGAGCAGGAAAGCAGGGGAUCGCAAGACCUUGCGCUGAUUGAGCGGCCGAUAUCAGAUUAGCUAGUUGGUGAGGUAAAGGCUCACCAAGGCGACGAUCUGUAGCGGGUCUGAGAGGAUGAUCCGCCACACUGGAACUGAGACACGGUCCAGACUCCUACGGGAGGCAGCAGUUGGGAAUAUUGGACAAUGGGGGAAACCCUGAUCCAGCAAUGCCGCGUGAAUGAUGAAGGCCUGGUCGUAAGUUCUUUAGUCAGGAGAAGGACCCUUUCGAAAGUUAGGGACGUUGACUGUACCUGCAGAAAAGACACCGGCUAACUCCGUGCCAG
Molecule: ribosomal RNA, 478 nt
Filed under: uncultured bacterium
Lineage: Bacteria
Description: bacterial SSU rRNA
Rfam family: Bacterial small subunit ribosomal RNA
Source: RNAcentral